UAUAUCUACAACUGUGAUUUUUAUCAUCAUUCAUCAUGAUAUCCACCGUAUCGAUUUUAAUGUACAAAUGACGACCACGACGUACUCGAUAUACCGACUACCGUCUUGUGUUUACAAGUUACAACUGUCUAUAAAUUUGUGGUUUAUUCAAGUAUUCAAGUACUAAAUCAAACUUGUAAUUUACACAUUUUAUUUUAAAUUUGCAAACUGCUCGUUAUCGUUGUGGGGUCAAGUUAUCAAUAGGGUGAAAUGUGUAUGCCUGAUUUUCAGAAACCCGCUGACGACUCACCAUUAUCUGACGAAGAAGGUGCACCUGAGGAGGAACAAAGUGACGAAGACAU
Acyrthosiphon pisum (pea aphid) is the source of this 341-nucleotide long non-coding RNA. RefSeq lists it as uncharacterized. The transcript has 2 exons. NCBI's taxonomy places the organism in Eukaryota, Metazoa, Arthropoda, Insecta, Hemiptera, Aphididae. The record is from RefSeq and is a predicted model, not a curated record.